Molecule: non-coding RNA, 82 nt
Filed under: unclassified sequences
Description: skipping-rope RNA
Rfam family: skipping-rope RNA
About the family: Firmicutes, Fusobacteria, AlphaProteobacteria, Spirochaetes. Downstream gene
Source: Rfam by way of RNAcentral
GCUAUUUGAGGUGGGAAAGGUUCCCCAUGCGCUACUUUUAGUAGUUAACAGAGAUGCAGGAUAAGCCGACCUGCCGAAUAGC